GCUGAAGGUAGACGCUUAACCCUCUGAGCCACCCAGGCAUCCCGGAAGACUUGUUUCUUGUCAGCAGUGGCACUUGGCCUUAAGCCUGGGUAGGAUUUGGGUGAGGGGGGUAGGGUAGAAAGGAAGAAGAGUGUGGGCAAAGACUCAGACUGGACAGAGCCAGAUUUGACUCUAUGGGGACAGUCAUUCUGCUCUUUGUUCCCACAGACUCAGGGCUCAAGCCCAGUGACACUAGAUCUCAUCAUUCCCUUCCUGAAGCCAGGGAGCUGUGUCCUGGUAAGGAAUCCUGCCCUCACUCUGUACACAGCCCCCUAGCAUCUACUCUACAGGUGGCAGAUGGGGCAAAUCCAGUCUGCAAAAAUGUUUGGUUUGGCCAGCACGGUGUUUGAAAUUGGAAUGAGUUGCUACCAUUUAAAUAUUGGAGAGGUCAUAUUUUAAAAAGCUGAUUUCUGGCUUCUCCUGGAAAAAUCAGAAAACCUGGUACUCUGUGUCCACAUUCAGGCAUGGUGACAAUGCGCUUGAGCUCAGUGGCAUCUGAUUACUUCAUUCAGGGCCUGUGCCUUCCCGGUCCUCAUGGACGCCCUGGCCAACUUCAAGUUUAUUUUUUGGGUUGCCACUCUUGACCUGUUGUGUGCCCAGCCAGAGCUGGACCAAACACAAACCCUGCGCUGGAGAAAUUCCCUAUCUAGGGGGACUCCCCUUCUCUGUCCCCACUCAACUUCCCCUGGGAGGAGGGGCUACCCUGGCUCACAGUGGGGGGGCUCUGUGCCCUCAGGUGUGGAGGUCAGAUGUUCAGUUUUCCUGGAAGCACCUCUUGUGUCCAGAUGUCUCUCGUAGACAUCUGGGGCUCUUGAUCCUGGCACUGCUGGCCCUCGCCACCCUGUUGGGCAUUGUUCUGGUCUUCACCCGCCGGCGCCCACUGUCAGGCCCUGGCCGAGCACAGCCGGUGUUGCUCCUGCACGUGGCGGACUCGGAGGCGCAGCGGCGCCUGGUGGGAGCGCUGGCUGAACUGCUGCGGACGGCGCUGGGCGGCGGGCGCGACGUGAUCGUGGACCUG
Non-coding RNA from Leptonychotes weddellii (Weddell seal), 1057 nucleotides. The record is from RefSeq and is a predicted model, not a curated record. Lineage: Eukaryota; Metazoa; Chordata; Mammalia; Carnivora; Phocidae.